Molecule: ribosomal RNA, 563 nt
Filed under: uncultured Glomeromycotina
Lineage: Eukaryota; Fungi; Glomeromycota
Description: SSU rRNA
Rfam family: Eukaryotic small subunit ribosomal RNA
Source: RNAcentral
UUGGAGGGCAAGUCUGGUGCCAGCAGCCGCGGUAAUUCCAGCUCCAAUAGCGUAUAUUAAAGUUGUUGCAGUUAAAAAGCUCGUAGUUGAAUUUCGGGGUUAGUAGGUUGGUCAUGCCACUGGUAUGUACUGGUCUCACUGAUUCCUCCUUCCUGAUGAGCCGUAAUGCCAUUAAUUUGGUGUUGCGAGGAAUCUGGACUGUUACUUUGAAAAAAUUAGAGUGUUUAAAGCAAGCUAACGCUUGAAUACAUUAGCGUGGAAUAAUGAAAUAGGACAUUCGAUCCUAUUUUGUUGGUUUCUAGGAUUGACGUAAUGAUUAAUAGGGAUAGUUGGGGGCAUUAGUAUUCAAUUGUCAGAGGUGAAAUUCUUGGAUUUAUUGAAGACUAACUACUGCGAAAGCAUUUGCCAAGGAUGUUUUCAUUAAUCAAGAACGAAAGUUAGGGGAUCGAAGACGAUCAGAUACCGUCGUAGUCUUAACCAUAAACUAUGCCGACUAGGGAUCGGAUGAUGUUAUUUUUAAUGACUCAUUCGGCGCCUUACGGGAAACCAAAGUGUUUGGGUUC